AUGGAUGCUCAGAGAGCUCUGCUGGACGAACUUAUGGGCUCAGCUCGUAAUUUGACGGAGGAGGAGAGAAGGGGGUACAAGGAAAUUACUUGGGAUGAUAAGGAGGUUUGUGGAGCCUAUAUGGUUCGAUUUUGUCCCCACGAUCUCUUCGUUAACACUCGAAGCGAUCUAGGACCUUGCCCUAAACUACAUGACCCAAAGUUGAAAGAAAGUUUUGAAGAGUCCCCGCGGCAUGAUGCUUAUGUGCCCAAGUUUGAAGCUGAACUUGCUCACUUUUGUGAGAAGUUGGUGAUGGAUUUAGAUAGAAGAGUAAAGCGUGGGCGAGAACGCCUUGCUCAGGAGGUGGAACCUGCACCAGCACCUCCACUGUCAGCUGAAAAGUCCGAACAGCUCUCUGUUCUGGAGGAAAAGAUAAAGAACUUACUGGAACAAGCAGAGGCUCUAGGUGAAGCUGGAAAGGUGGAUGAAGCUGAAGCACUGAUGAGAAAGGUGGAUAUGCUCAAUUCUGAGAAGACAGCAUUGGCUCAGCCCCAGAAUGAUAAAGUGUUGAUGCUGGCACAGGAGAAAAAAAUGGCACUUUGUGAGAUCUGUGGUUCAUUUCUAGUGGCCAAUGAUGCUGUAGAGAGAACUCAGUCGCAUGUUACGGGGAAGCAGCAUAUUGGUUAUGGCAUGGUUCGUGAUUUUAUCGCUGAGUUCAAGGAAUCCAAGGAGAAGGCAAGGGAAGAAGAAAGGUUAGCGAGGGAGAAAGAGGCAGAAGAACGGAGGAAACAGAGGGAGAAGGAAGAGGAGAAUAGAAGGAGAAGUAAUUCAAGUGAUAGGGACAGGUACCGUGAUAGAGAUCGUGACAGGGAGCGGGACAGAUAUCGAGAACGAGACUUGGAUCGUGAAAGGUCGAGGGAGUGGAAUGGCAGAAGUAGUAGGGAUGGAGGGAGAGGGGUGGACAGGAGGUCCAGGAAUGGAAGAGAUGGAGGCAGGGAUAGGUACCAUGAUCGAAGCAGGUCACGUUCCCCUGUUAGGCACAGUCACAGGAGGUGACCUAGAAGUCCCGUUCGCCCGUAUUAAUGAAUUGUGUAGGGUGAUGUCUGAGCUUUGAAAUUUAAUGAGGUAGUUUCCAUAUCUCUAAGGUUUUUAUAAACACGUGCAUUUGGAGUCUUACUUGAAUUUUCAUCAUGGGUGAAGCUUUUUCCUAUCUCACAGCUUUUGUUGAGACUACCAUCUCCCAUUCAUCAGUAUUAUUAGCGGAGAAAAUGGUUGAGACAUCAGGCCCGAAAAUGUGUGCAUGAUUGACACCGCAGUUGGCGACAUGAUGGUUUUUUAAUCACUUUUGAGGUAACACGUUUAUCGUCUAUUUACCAGCACCAACCCAUACAAUAUUUCCUUCUUUCCAUAGGCACACUUUUCCCUUUCUUUUCAGUCCUCAUGCAUCUGGUUUUCAGUUUUAACCGCUCUGUUUCUAGUGCUGCUUGUUUAACUGGGAUGGGGAUCCGAAGAAACCAAUCGUGAAAUGCGCGGAUUGUGUGCUACAUUUUCAUUCUUCUUGAGGUAUUUAGGUCACUCUCCAUGCAUUCUAGAAAUAGUUGGUCUGGCAUCACCCUUUAAUGAUUUUUCAAAUGGCUCAUUUGUCUGCCCUCUCCUCUCCUCUCCUCUUCAUUCCCCCUUUAGCUUAUCGAACUUUAAUGGUUAGAUCGGUGCAAGCAUUCCUUUCGGUGAGAGAAUAAUGACAGACCAGUCAUAGAAGUGAAGUUAAUCUGUAAAGAUUACAUUAUCAUGUGAAUAGGUAGAUUUGGAGUUCAAAUUUCUGUCUUGAUCACAAUUCGGUCCCUGAGAAGCCGUGUAUUGUUUCAACGGGGCACGGGCAUCUGCUUCACCACACUGGGUUGCUGUAUAAGAUUUGCCGUUAUCGGUGAACGGAGGUAACUGCCAAAUCAUAUUCUGCAGAUUAGUGCAUUUCUUUUAAAGUUUUGCAGGAAGAGAACCAUGAUGAUUAGGUUGGGUCGAAUAUCUGUCAUGGCUUAGCAAUGGUUUGUGGAGGCGUCCCUAUUUUUGCUGCUGAACUAGUUGCUUUAAAUCGAGUUACCAAAUGGAACCGAAAUGAUUGAUUUAUGAGUCGUAAUUGAAUAUGUUUUGUAUCACUUUUGACACACUAUUCUUCACUGUUGAAUUUA
Malus domestica (apple) is the source of this 2165-nucleotide non-coding RNA. The record is from RefSeq and is a predicted model, not a curated record. Lineage: Eukaryota; Viridiplantae; Streptophyta; Magnoliopsida; Rosales; Rosaceae.